UACAGAGGUCUCAAGCGUUGUUCGGAUUCAUUGGGCGUAAAGGGUGCGCAGGCGGCGUGGAAAGUUGAGUGUGAAAUCCCGGGGCUUAACCCCGGAACUGCACUCAAUACUCCCAUGCUAGAGGAAUGUAGAGGAGAGUGGAAUUCACGGUGUAGCAGUGAAAUGCGUAGAUAUCGUGAGGAAGACCAGUUGCGAAGGCGACUCUCUGGGCAUUUCCUGACGCUCAUGCACGAAGGCCAGGGGAG
This 245-nucleotide ribosomal RNA is filed under the name uncultured Spartobacteria bacterium. Its description in RNAcentral is "partial 16S ribosomal RNA". It matches the Rfam family "Bacterial small subunit ribosomal RNA", at positions 524 to 768 of the family's 1533-position model. The record is from RNAcentral. Lineage: Bacteria; Pseudomonadati; Verrucomicrobiota; Spartobacteria.